RNAcentral lists this transfer RNA (62 nucleotides) under bacterium. RNAcentral's name for it is "tRNA-Asn". The record is from RNAcentral.
GACUCAGCGAUGGAGCAGCCGGCUGUUAACCGGCGGGUCGAAGGUUCGAAUCCGAUUAAUCG